This 253-nucleotide ribosomal RNA is filed under the name uncultured bacterium. RNAcentral's name for it is "partial 16S ribosomal RNA". It matches the Rfam family "Bacterial small subunit ribosomal RNA", at positions 524 to 776 of the family's 1533-position model. The record is from RNAcentral.
GACGUAGGGUGCAAGCGUUGUCCGGAUUUAUUGGGCGUAAAGAGCUCGUAGGCGGCUUGUCGCGUCGACUGUGAAAACCCGCGGCUUAACUGUGGGACUGCAGUCGAUACGGGCAGGCUAGAGUUCGGUAGGGGAGACUGGAAUUCCUGGUGUAGCGGUGAAAUGCGCAGAUAUCAGGAGGAACACCGGUGGCGAAGGCGGGUCUCUGGGCCGAUACUGACGCUGAGGAGCGAAAGCGUGGGGAGCGAACAGG